AGUGAACGCUGGCGGUAGGCCUAACACAUGCAAGUCGAACGGCAGCACAGUAAGAGCUUGCUCUUACGGGUGGCGAGUGGCGGACGGGUGAGGAAUACAUCGGAAUCUACUUUUUCGUGGGGGAUAACGUAGGGAAACUUACGCUAAUACCGCAUACGACCUACGGGUGAAAGCAGGGGAUCUUCGGACCUUGCGCGAUUGAAUGAGCCGAUGUCGGAUUAGCUAGUUGGCGGGGUAAAGGCCCACCAAGGCGACGAUCCGUAGCUGGUCUGAGAGGAUGAUCAGCCACACUGGAACUGAGACGCGGUCCAGACUCCUACGGGAGGCAGCAGUGGGGAAUAUUGGACAAUGGGUGCAAGCCUGAUCCAGCCAUACCGCGUGGGUGAAGAAGGCCUUCGGGUUGUAAAGCCCUUUUGUUGGGAAAGAAAAGCAGCAGGUUAAUACCCCGCUGUUCUGACGGUACCCAAAGAAUAAGCACCGGCUAACUUCGUG
RNAcentral lists this ribosomal RNA (492 nucleotides) under uncultured bacterium. RNAcentral's name for it is "partial 16S ribosomal RNA". It matches the Rfam family "Bacterial small subunit ribosomal RNA", at positions 29 to 507 of the family's 1533-position model. The record is from RNAcentral.